Molecule: non-coding RNA, 552 nt
Organism: Macaca mulatta (Rhesus monkey)
Lineage: Eukaryota; Metazoa; Chordata; Mammalia; Primates; Cercopithecidae
Source: RefSeq, a predicted model, not a curated record
GCCGGUGAAGCAACAGACCCAGCAAGGACGAUGGGAAACUGACCAGAUAAGUCCUGAAGUCCCCAUCAACACCGUCACUGCCACCUUCACGAGUUCCACUUAGGAGCAGCCAGAGCAGCCCCUGCCAGCAUCAGGAAAAGCCCAGUGGGGGUCCCAAGAGGCUGCGAUUCUCUGCCAUGACCCCAGAAAGUUUGGCUCUUAUGCAAAGCCUGCAGUUCAGAUCCACGUGUCAACCUCAGGUCACUACAUCCAACUGCAGCAGGUAUGGGGAGAAUCGGAACCACAACACCUUCGCUUGCAGUGAAUUUCUCUCUCAGCUUUGUUUUUAGUUUGAACCACAUAAUAAAUCUAUGAUAAGGGUAUUCUUGUUCCUAUUGUAUAGACGAGGAAACUGAGGCACGCUGAGGGAGAAAGUGACAAGGAAGAGACUAGAGGCUACAUCUGAUUUUACAACAAAUUUUCAUCCCACACAACGAAUAGCAACCUCUGGAUGUUUUUCAAGAUUUGAGUGAAGUCCAGAAUCAAACUGAAGACUCUGUGUGUGUGUGUGUG